Molecule: unclassified non-coding RNA, 329 nt
Filed under: Hevea brasiliensis (rubber tree)
Lineage: Eukaryota; Viridiplantae; Streptophyta; Magnoliopsida; Malpighiales; Euphorbiaceae
Source: RNAcentral
UUUUUUUUUUAAUAUGUAACAGAAGAAGGUUAACGUAAAGAGAGAAGGGGUCCUCUUCUCUUGGGAUUCAGUUGCAGGUGACUAAUUAGACUUAGGUGACCUUGCUGGAGAGUAGUUCAGCGUGAAACGGUGGCCGGAAGAGGUGUGACUUGCUAGCACAUGGAGGCAGGCAAAAAGCAAAAACAAUGCAUGGGCAACAUGUGCCUUUUUCGACGAAGGGCUUCUAGUGGUGACCUUGCGGGCUUUUGGCGCUCCUGUCUAGGUGGGCGAUGACACUUGAAACUUCCUAUUCAGUUGGGAACCGCUUGAGGGUUGAGAAACAAAGUCUG